RNAcentral lists this ribosomal RNA (467 nucleotides) under uncultured bacterium. RNAcentral's name for it is "partial 16S ribosomal RNA". It matches the Rfam family "Bacterial small subunit ribosomal RNA", at positions 28 to 506 of the family's 1533-position model. The record is from RNAcentral.
GACGAACGCUGGCGGCGUGCUUAACACAUGCAAGUCGAACGGAAAGGCCUUGCUUUUGUGGGGUGCUCGAGUGGCGAUUGGGUGAGUAACACGUGAGUAACCUGCCCUUGACUUUGGGAUAACUUCAGGAAACUGGGGACAAUACCGGAUAGGAGCUCCUGCUGCAUGGUGGGGGUUGGACAGUUUCGGCGGUUGGGGAUGGACUCGCGGCUUAUCAGCUUGUUGGUGGGGUAGUGGCUUACCAAGGCUUUGACGGGUAGCCGGCCUGAGAGGGUGACCGGCCACAUUGGGACUGAGAUACGGCCCAGACUCCUACGGGAGGCAGCAGUGGGGAAUAUUGCACAAUGGGCGGAAGCCUGAUGCAGCAACGCCGCGUGCGGGAUGACGGCCUUCGGGUUGUAAACCGCUUUCGCCUGUGACGAAGCGUGAGUGACGGUAAUGGGUAAAGAAGCACCGGCUAACUACGU